CUAAAGUAUUAUCACUUAUUUUUGUUACACCUUGUAUAUUUCAUAAUCUAUUCGGCCUAGGCUCAGUUUCCGUCACCGUCUUACGGUCAAUAUGAUCCCUGAGAAACUACACAAUUUUGUUUGAAGUUUCGCAUCAUGAACAAUUUUAGGCUGAGUAGACGGGAUAGUUUUAAAAUAUCUUUACACCAUUAUUUUACUGCCCAUUAAAAUGUUGCUAAUUGUCGACGCUAUUUGCGGUCGCCGUACGUCGAUUUUACAGUUCUAAAUUGUAGGCGAUAAAGAAAUAUGGAAAAAUAAAUCUAAUGUUGUUUCUUUAACCAAUGUCACUAUUUCUAACAUGUGGCAAUCGUUUACCUUUCAAUUAACUAUUUCAUAUAUCCAAAAUGGUUGCCAUAUUGAGAUUUAGGCACGGAUAGGCCGCGCACAGCUUUAGGAUCAUUCAGCAAGGCCCUUUUUCUAUUUUUGCAGUUUUCGAUUGUUUGGUAUCUUUGAUGAGGUGAUGGUGGGUGCGCCGACGCGUGAUAAAAAAUUUGUACUAACACAAAUGUUUAUUCAUAGGCAGAUUGGGCACCCACGUAAUUUGUUCGCGUUAUGUCAAUCCGAGUCGAUAGAUCGCGAUUGACAUGAUCCGAUCAAAUGACGUGGAUCUGUCAACUGCCUAUAAAUCAAUUUCCUCGAUGGUAAUGUUAUGUUCUGUAAUCUGUGAGCUGUAACUUAUAAGCUACUUUGUAUGUACUUUUAGCGUCAGUUCUCGCUGAAAUGUCGCUGAAAUCCAAAGCAUAACAGCAAUUGCUAAGUCGUGCUUCGUCUCGUGUCGGUGUGCCGUGUGACUGACCUUUAGGCCUUGAUUACACUUACCGAGUACCACGCCCUCGGCUGAGCACUCGAUAUGUAAUAAACACAUUAAUUGCGAGCGAUAGGCCAAUACAAUAUAAGUACAAUACAUAAAUAUACAUACCGCGUGUUGGCUAAGGGCACUGUCUCACCACUCUACCUACUCGGCAGGUGCAAUCAGGCCCUUAGCGUCUGUUCACAUCCAGAUGUCAGACGAGACCUGUUAAUUGUGUGUUACUACAUUUUAAGCACCCUGAUUUUGUUUAAGAAAAUAAAUGAAUUAAGUAUUUGUAAUUUUGUGAUAAGGCCAGAAAAAUACUUACCGUAUUAAACAUUAUCAUGCAUAAAACUGUGAUUAUCAUGACAUUUUUUAAUUUAUAAUAAAACAUUAUUUGUUAA
Long non-coding RNA from Aricia agestis (brown argus), 1233 nucleotides. RefSeq lists it as uncharacterized. Lineage: Eukaryota; Metazoa; Arthropoda; Insecta; Lepidoptera; Lycaenidae. The transcript is spliced from 2 exons. The record is from RefSeq and is a predicted model, not a curated record.